UGGGGGAUAUUGCACAAUGGGCGAAAGCCUGAUGCAGCGACGCCGCGUGGGGGAUGAAGGCUUUCGGGUUGUAAACCUCUUUCGCUAUCGAACAAGGCCCGCUUAGGGUGGGUUGAGGGUAGGUGGAGAAGAAGCGCCGGCUAACUACGUGCCAGCAGCCGCGUUAAUACGUAGGGCGCGAGCGUUGUCCGGAAUUAUUGGGCGUAAAGGGCUUGUAGGCGGCUUGUUGCGCCUGCUGUGAAAACGCGGGGCUUAACUUCGCGCGUGCAGUGGGUACGGGCAGGCUUGAGUGUGGUAGGGGUGACUGGAAUUCCAGGUGUAGCGGUGGAAUGCGCAGAUAUCUGGAGGAACACCGAUGGCGAAGGCAGGUCACUGGGCCAUUACUGACGCUGAGGAGCGAAAGCAUGGGUAGCGAACAGG
RNAcentral lists this ribosomal RNA (420 nucleotides) under bacterium. RNAcentral describes it as "partial 16S ribosomal RNA". It matches the Rfam family "Bacterial small subunit ribosomal RNA", at positions 355 to 776 of the family's 1533-position model. The record is from RNAcentral.